RNAcentral lists this ribosomal RNA (583 nucleotides) under uncultured bacterium. Its description in RNAcentral is "bacterial SSU rRNA". It matches the Rfam family "Bacterial small subunit ribosomal RNA", at positions 102 to 671 of the family's 1533-position model. The record is from RNAcentral.
ACGGGUGAGUAACACGUGGGCAACCUGCCCUUGAGACUGGGAUAACUUCGGGAAACCGGAGCUAAUACCGGAUAAUAUAAGGAACCUCCUGGUUCCUUAUUGAAAGAUGGUUUCGGCUAUCACUUAAGGAUGGGCCCGCGGCGCAUUAGCUAGUUGGUGAGGUAACGGCUCACCAAGGCGACGAUGCGUAGCCGACCUGAGAGGGUGAUCGGCCACACUGGGACUGAGACACGGCCCAGACUCCUACGGGAGGCAGCAGUAGGGAAUCUUCCACAAUGGACGAAAGUCUGAUGGAGCAACGCCGCGUGAGUGAUGAAGGCCUUCGGGUCGUAAAGCUCUGUUGUUAGGGAAGAACAAGUGCGAGAGUAACUGCUCGCACCUUGACGGUACCUAACCAGAAAGCCACGGCUAACUACGUGCCAGCAGCCGCGGUAAUACGUAGGUGGCAAGCGUUAUCCGGAAUUAUUGGGCGUAAAGCGCGCGCAGGUGGUUUCUUAAGUCUGAUGUGAAAGCCCACGGCUCAACCGUGGAGGGUCAUUGGAAACUGGGGAACCUGAGUGCAGAAGAGGAAAGUGGAAUUCCA